CUUGCUAAGUUUGAUGGCGACCGGCGCACGGGUGAGUAACACGUAUCCAACCUGCCGAUAACUCGGGGAUAGCCUUUCGAAAGAAAGAUUAAUAUCCGAUAGUAUAUUAAAACCGCAUGGUUUUACUAUUAAAGAAUUUCGGUUAUCGAUGGGGAUGCGUUCCAUUAGUUUGUUGGCGGGGUAACGGCCCACCAAGACUACGAUGGAUAGGGGUUCUGAGAGGAAGGUCCCCCACAUUGGAACUGAGACACGGUCCAA
RNAcentral lists this ribosomal RNA (258 nucleotides) under uncultured bacterium. RNAcentral describes it as "partial 16S ribosomal RNA". It matches the Rfam family "Bacterial small subunit ribosomal RNA", at positions 76 to 334 of the family's 1533-position model. The record is from RNAcentral.